RNAcentral lists this ribosomal RNA (253 nucleotides) under uncultured bacterium. Its description in RNAcentral is "partial 16S ribosomal RNA". It matches the Rfam family "Bacterial small subunit ribosomal RNA", at positions 524 to 776 of the family's 1533-position model. The record is from RNAcentral.
UACGUAGGUGACAAGCGUUGUCCGGAUUUACUGGGCGUAAAGAGCGCGCAGGCGGUCGGUCAAGUCGAGUGUGAAAGCCCCCGGCUCAACUGGGGAGGGUCAUUCGAUACUGAUCGACUCGAAGGCAGGAGAGGGUAGUGGAAUUCCCGGUGUAGUGGUGAAAUGCGUAGAUAUCGGGAGGAACACCAGUGGCGAAGGCGACAUCCUGGACCGGUAUUGACGCUGAGGCGCGAAAGCCAGGGGAGCAAACGGG